UACGGGGGGAGCAAGCGUUGUUCGGAUUUACUGGGCGUAAAGGGCGCGUAGGCGGUCGUGACAAGUCACUUGUGAAAUCUCCGGGCUUAACUCGGAACGGUCAAGUGAUACUGUCGGACUAGAGUACAGAAGGGGCAACUGGAAUUCUCGGUGUAGCGGUGAAAUGCGUAGAUAUCGAGAGGAACACCAGUGGCGAAGGCGAGUCCCUGGACAAAACCUGACACUGAGGCACGAAAGCUAGGGGAGCAAACAGG
RNAcentral lists this ribosomal RNA (254 nucleotides) under uncultured bacterium. Its description in RNAcentral is "partial 16S ribosomal RNA". It matches the Rfam family "Bacterial small subunit ribosomal RNA", at positions 524 to 776 of the family's 1533-position model. The record is from RNAcentral.